CAAACGACUGGGUCCUUUCCAUAGAUACAGAACAAGACUGAAUGACUGGGUGGUUUCUCUUGCAACGGAACUGAUAGAACAAACGACCAGUCGGCUUGGGUAGCAACCUUAGAUUUGUGUCGGGACUAUAUCUUGUGGAAGGAUGAAAUGACAAAUCUUCAUUCAGUUGGACACCUGACGAGGUCCAUGGUCUCCUUGUUCACCAACCAGGAACUUUAGGGUCUGAGGCGGUAAAUUCAUCUACUAUGCUGCUGGAGCCGACUCAACCUGAUUGCCCUGUAGAAGAGGAACAUUCUGGUAAGUUAUCUAGUUAGUACAGUCUUUCUCAACCCUUUUUUGUACCAGAUUAGCCAGAUUUGUUACUCUUCCUUGGUGGACUGCUUGGAUUUAAACUAGCUUACUAUUACUAGCCUACUGACUCAAUGUCUGCUAACCAUCUGAGGGACUGGCCAGUAACAGCUAGAAGUUGAGAAACACUUUGUUUCUGUCUGCUUUUAACUGAUGUGGUUCUUUCACAGAGGAAUCUGGAUACCACUGGUCGUCAAAGGAGGUUCAGGCAUUGUUAACACUCUGGGCAGAUGGUAGUGUUCAGAAGCAGCUUCUCUCCUAUAAAAACGAGCACGUCUAUACCAAAUUGAGUUCAGAGCUUGCUGCCUUCGGAUUUAACAAGACAUCUAAACAGUGCAGAGACAAACUAAAAAAUCUGAAACAGGAAUACAAAAAAAAUCAAGGAUAACAAUAGUGGUUCCAACCAUCAUGGAGAAAGAUGGUUUGCCAUCAUCGAUAGUGUCCUCUGUCACUAACCAAGUACUUUGGAGUCUGGGAUGAUACAUUCAGAUCCAAAGCCUUUGGAAUCGACUCAACCUGAUUCCCCUCAAGAAAUUGAGGAUUCUGGUUGGUUGUCUCGUACGGCAUCUCGUACACGUUUUUUACACAGGAACUUGCCUGUUACCUCAAGCUCGGUUGUUAAUAUCGAUUAUGUGAGAACUGUCAAUUGAGCUGUUGCUUCCACAGAUCAAUCUGCAUCCAGUUGGACACCUGAUGAGGUCCAUGGACUCCUUGGUCACCAACCAGGAACUUCAGGGGCUAAGGUGAUAAAUUCUGCUACUAUGCUGCUGGAGUUGACUCAAGCGUAUUCCCUGUAAAAGAGGAACCUUAUGGUCCCGGUUUACCUCUAUCCUCACUGCGUCUCCAUGCUCCACCAUUACACUUGAUGUCAGCAUUCAUGUGGCAAGUGGCUCAGCAGUGUCAUGACGUUGCCCUCUUUGGGUACAGCGAGCACCAUCCCCCUCUCCCUCUCUAUACCCCUUUCACCAAGCUCUGUAAGAGAGGUCGUAAAUUCCUAGAGAAGAUCCUGCCUCAUGGCUAGACAGUAUAGAGAGAGUGAGUUUCAUAGAGAGAACAAAGGAAUUUCUUCCACCUCACAGAACUGAGAACCGAACGACAUUUAUGUUCUGGAGAAUGUAUAACAGAUCAGUGAAGAAUCCAGCUACGAACUGGUCCAUUUGGUACAAUUUUGUGAAACUCAUGGGAGAGACAUUACCAUAACGCUGUUUAUACAAUAGCCUCAGCUAUGAGGCGUACAUCUAAUUGUUGUAUAAAAUGAAUGAGUGGGGAUGGAACUGUUUGUGAAAUUGUGUAAUGUGAUUUUGGACUGUUUAAUGAAGGAAACUCCAAUUCCCUUUGGAGUUUAACUAAAUCAGAGGACCACCCAUGAGAACAGUUAUGGUCUGGCGUCAUGGGACAGACCCUUUUCUGCUCUUCCGAAUAAAACCCCCACCUAGGUUUUCUAUCACCAGACCAGCUUACCUCGAUAACGAGAGGGCCAAGGUUUGAGAGGAGACCAGCUUACCUCGAUAACGAGAGGGCCAAGAUUUGAGAGGAGACCAGGUUACCUCGAUAACGAGAGGGCCAAGGCUUGAGAGGAGACCAGCUUACCUCGAUAACGAGAGGGCCAAGGUUUGAGAGAAGACCGAGCUUACCUCAAUUACGAGAUGGCUAUAGGUUGUAGACCAUGCAUUUCUUUUGCUGAACUUUUAACCAUACCACGUGGUUAACCUCUAUGGGCUAGGUGGGACGUGCGUCCCACCUACGUAACAGCCACUGCCAGCCUGUGGCGCGAUUUUCAAAACCUUAAAAAUCCUAUUACUUCAAUUUCUCAAACAUAUGACUAUUUUACAGCCAUUUAAAGACAAGACUCUCGUUAAUCUAACCACACUGUCCGAUUUCAAAAAGGCUUUACAACGAAAGCAAAACAUUAGAUUAUGUCAGCAGAGUACCAAGCCAGAAAUAAUCAGACACCCAUUUUUCAAGCCAGCAUAUAAUGUCACCAAAACCCAGAAGACAGCUAAAUGCAGCACUCACCUUUGAUGAUCUUCAUCAGAUGACAACCCUAGGACAUUAUGUUAUACAAUACAUGCAUGUUUUGUUCAAUCAAG
RNAcentral lists this long non-coding RNA (2438 nucleotides) under Salmo salar (Atlantic salmon). RNAcentral's name for it is "lncRNA (ENSSSAG00000099205.1)". The record is from RNAcentral. Lineage: Eukaryota; Metazoa; Chordata; Actinopteri; Salmoniformes; Salmonidae.